RNAcentral lists this unclassified non-coding RNA (200 nucleotides) under uncultured Agaricomycetes. RNAcentral describes it as "sequence contains ITS2". The record is from RNAcentral. Lineage: Eukaryota; Fungi; Basidiomycota; Agaricomycetes.
AAUUCUCAACCUGGAUUACUUUUGUAAAAGUCAGGCUUUGGAUUAUGGAAGCUGCUGAUUUGCAAAGAAUCAGCUCUUUUAAAAUUUAUUAGCAAAGAUUAUUUUUUGAUCAUCUAUGGUAUGAUAAAUAUCUAUAUCAUUGAAUGACAGACUUAUCAAUAAUUUUGCUUCAAACAAGUCUAUAUUGGACAAUAUAAUAG